GUGGGGUAAUGGUGGAGUACA
RNAcentral lists this microRNA (21 nucleotides) under Petromyzon marinus (sea lamprey). Its description in RNAcentral is "pma-miR-4589". The record is from miRBase by way of RNAcentral. Lineage: Eukaryota; Metazoa; Chordata; Hyperoartia; Petromyzontiformes; Petromyzontidae.